Molecule: long non-coding RNA, 326 nt
Organism: Melitaea cinxia (Glanville fritillary)
Lineage: Eukaryota; Metazoa; Arthropoda; Insecta; Lepidoptera; Nymphalidae
Exons: 2
Source: RefSeq, a predicted model, not a curated record
ACAUCCAGGGGGUCAAUGACGUUGCCCAGAGAUUUGGACAUCUUGCGACCGUGUGCGUCUCGUACCAUUGGAUUGAGCCGUUGUCCGAAGAACACCAUCCUGGCGACCCAGAAGAACAAUAUAUCGUGUCCAGUUUCCAGAAGAGUGGUGGGAUAGAGCGCCUGACGAAGUAAAUGCAAGAAUAUUAAUAAGAUAUUAAAAUACUAACACAAUUGUUUCAUGAUAAUUUAGGUCAAUCUUAAAUCAGAUCUCAUUAUAAAACUUGUCUUACAGAAAAUGCCGUAACCUAAGUAUACAAAUAGUAUUACAUUAUUCUUUCCAUCCUC